UUGUUCUUAAUCUUUGCCUCAGAUGGCCUCUGGGAACAUCUCAGUGAUGAAGCUGCUGUGGAUAUUGUAUAUAAAUACCCAAGAGCUGUAAGUUUGAGUUCCCGCUACUUUUAUAUAGAUAAUUUCAGUAUAGAGACAUUAACACCUGGAUGCUUUUCUUCUUGCUUUGACCAUAUAUUUUGCCUUCAUGUGGCGAAAUUUAUAAAUCAUUUAUAAACAUUCUUCAUUUUCGACCACACAUUUCAAUGGAUCCACACGUAAUAUCUGCUCAUCCACCACUCAUUUCUAUUUAUUUAUGAAAUUAAACCUUUUAUAAAUUCUUCCCUAACAGAGGCUCAGUUGUGACAUUUACUUUAUUAGCUGUUCAGCCUGUUCUUAUAUGAAGACCUCGGGAUUAGGAUUGCAAGGCUCUUAUUAUUUUCAGUUGCAUCUAAAUGCGUUUGCUUUCAUGAUUAUGAUUCAUUUUUUGUUAAAAACGCGGGCGCAAGAAUGAAAAUUUGUGUUCUGGAUUAGUUAAAAAGCAAUGGCAAAGCAUCAAGUUCUACUGAAUGUGAUAUAGCCUUUGUUAAUCUGGUUUAGCUUUUGGCUGGUCAUCCCUUGAAAGUUUUCUAGCUUGACUUGCUUGUUCUUUGUGCUGAAUUUUCUACAGGGUAUAGCCAAGAGAUUAGUCGGAGCUGCCAUUCACGAGGCAGCAAAGAAGAGGGAGGUGAGAUACAAGGACAUUAGAAAGAUCGAAAAGGGAGGUAGGCGCCAUUUCCAUGAUGAUAUUACUGUGAUUGUGAUCUAUCUUGACCAUGAUCAUCGUAAAAGCCCUAAACACGAUCAAGGGUCUGUUGGCAUUACCAGCGCCCCUGUUGACAUCUUCUCCUAUAAUUCAGAUGAAAUCGAGGAAAAUCCAGUUGACAAGAUUUUCCCCAAUGAGGAGUCUCGGCAUAUAUUGGCGGUAUCCUAAAUAGAAUGUGGAAACUUGAAAAUCGGUAAUCUUGUAUACAGGUUUCCGCGUAAAUAAAAUUAUAGUUGCUGUUUGAUGCUGCGAUGAAAAGGCAAGGUUUUUCAUGUAGGUUUUUACAGAAAAUAAACAAUUUUUUUGUUCUUUGCAUGUUAGUUUUUAUUGGAGUUGAGUUAGCAGAUCGCAUUUGUACUGAUACGUAUUUUUUAAGUUGAGUUUUGCACUCGUUUAUGCUUAAGAUCAUAGACCAGCCAUAGCAUUUGCAGAGCAUGUUUCUUUCUUCUAUAUUUGCCUCAAGACACCAAUCUUGGCUACCAUUUUACAAGGACAACUGAUCAAUCUAAAUAUUCCAUUUUUAGUUUAUUCUUAUUCUUUUUUCUCCAUUCCUUCACUUCUGUCUAUUCGGUCAUAUUUAUUUCCCGACUAUGAACUCAACAUAACAAAUACAGGUCAAUCUUCGAAUAAACGUAUAUCAAAUGCUAUAAAACAUAUAUCUGGACCAACUUGUUUGGCUGGUUCCGAAGUAUUAACUAGAUGUGAACCGUUUCAAUAAAAUUUCAUCUUUGAAUGAAAAUCUAUUUUUAAAUAUAUUUUAUCUUCUUCAUAAUUUCACUCUCUUCACGUGUAUGAAUCAAUUGUGGUCUCUCAAACUUUACCAGCGAUUUGGAAGAAUUCCUUGCUUGACGUAGAUGUUUCUAGUCGCACUUAAAAGCCAUGUAUUCUUCGAUUAAAGUUAUAAAGUUUGGAUUAAUGUGAUAUUUUUUGUUAAUUUUAGUACACGAUUGUAUUAUUUUAUUACAUAAAAAAUAAGUCUAGAGGGUUUGAAAUGAUUGUAUUUAUUUAUUGGAAAAAUUCAUAACUAUGAUGUUAAGUAUCGCCCAUUUUAAAAUUAAGAACAAAUGUUUUAAAUUUUAAAAAUCAGCUAUUUAUUAAAAUUUAUUUAUGAUCCAAUUAAUCAUUUGUAUAUUUUAUUAAUUAAAUAUAUAAAGGUCACAUAUUUAUACAAUUUGCUCAUAAACAAAUGAUUUAGUUAGUCAUAUAUUAUUUUUUUUUUAUCACAAAUCAGAAUUUUUAUAAAUUACAAAUUAUUUUACGAUCACAAUUCAAGAAUUUUAUAAGUCACAAUUUGUUCAUCGGUCAGAAUUAAUUUAUCAUUGACAAAUUACAAAAAUUAUAAGUCACAAAUUAUCGAUCAUAAAUUAACAAUUUUUAAGGUCGCAUAUUAUUUUUUUAAUCACAAUUUAUCUUUUUCAUUAGUCACAUAUUGUUUAUUGGUCACAGUUAACCAAAUAAUUUGUAACCACCAUUUCAUCAUUGCCUACAUCAGCAGCAGCAGCAGCACCACCCCCUACCGAAGCAACACCACCAAUUCAAACAAAUCAACCCAUCGUAGAAAAUACCACCACAUCAUCACGCUAAAUCCACAACCAUGCCACCAACACCAACACCAUCGCACAGAGUACCACACCAUCUAUUGCACACACCCAACGACCACACCUACACCAUCACAAACGUACCCACAGCACACCAUCUUUGCACUCACUAGAGCUCUUCAUUUCCACCACCACACCACAAACCUCCACCUGUACAUCCACCGCCCCAUACCAACACCGCACAUAGCACCACAUCACUCGCCCAAUACUACAUCCAUUGCACAAUAGUAGCUCAUCACCGUCACACCCACUAGAGAUCUCCAUUCCCAUCACCGCAUCGCACACCUCUACCACUGAAGCAUCAAUCAUCACACCACUCAAAAAUAAAUUUUAAAAAAAAAGGAAGAAAGAAAGAAAGCAAAAAGAUCUGCUGGGAUGAGUAGUUGUCGGAUUGGGUGAAAUAAAGCAGUGUGAGAUUUGUAGCGUCACCUAGAGAUAUGCAGCGAUGAAGGCAGAGAUUGCUGUUGCAACAGCUGAUCUGAAAAUUUUAUGGGUUGUGGUAAGGUGGUUGAGCAUGAUGUUGGUGAGGUGGUGCCAACGGUGUGAUGGCGCUAACGAGAGUGGUGGCGGCGUCGAUGGCCAACUUGUGAGAAGAGAGAAGUUGGGAUGGAGAAAGAAGAGAGAAUGCAGAGGAUGAACAUGAUUAUGGUUUUGGUAUGUGUGGUUGUGUAGGAUGAAUAGGCUUUUACUACUUGUACAUAAAAAAUAUACAUAAUGGAUUACAUAAUAUGACGUGAAGGGAAAAGAUUUGAUGAAAAAGUCGAUCAUAUUUUAAAUUGGCAAAUGGCAGAGUGCCACGUGAUAUUAUGUAAUCUAUUAUGUAAAUUUUGAUGUACAUGUAGGAAGAUUCAUGUUGAAUAUGUAUAUUUAAUUUUGUAAUAUAAUUAUUAAUAAUUAAAAUAUAUUAAUUAAUUAACAAAACAUCUAAUAUUUGAAAUAGUAAACCUAACCUAUGAAAUAUAAAAUGGGAUCUCCAAAAUGUAUUAGUUCCUAUAGUUUUUUUUCCCACUUUAUCUAUAGAGUUGGAAGAAUUAUACUGUAAAGAAAUAAAUCAAUAAAUACUUAUAAUUAAAAUUUUUACUUACUCGAAAGAGCCCUCACCGUUUAGUUUUUCAUCAUUUUUUCCGCGAUAAAAUUCUAGCAAACUCGCCGGUGAUUUGUUUUGGUUUUUAGUAUGAGCAAAUGCAGUUCGGUAGCGGAAUCAGUAUGGAAGGAUAUCGAGUCUACUAAUUCAGGUCCAUUAGUUUUGAUUAAUUUCCAAUUGCUCCUUUCGAAUUUCAUAUCCGCUUUCAUUUUCAAUUUUCAUUUUUUCACCAUGUUUCUGUUUGUAUUAUCUGACUUUAACACAAUCCCGCGGUUUUGAUGGAAAUUACGAAAUGGACUCCCCCAGUGACCGAUGAUCAGCUUUCAGUGUUAGUAUCUCCAACUUUUUUGGUUUGUUUUUUCCUCAAAAUUUAGAAAUAUUCUAUUUCUUUCCAGUUAAGUGUGUAUAUGUAAGUAAACGGGUGACAAAUUAUUGUUGAUUUAUGUUACAGAUUGCAUUUUCUUUUUGGGAAGAAUCUGGAGAGAGCAACGCGGAUAAUUGAUCAAAGGGGUGUCAAGAGGAUUUCCGGCGAGCCCUGUGGCCGUUCUAUUUUCCAGGUAAACUAUGUUUCUUCUUCUUUUUAUCUUUUUCUUUCCCUCUUUAUUCAAUCAUUUCUAGGGCUUGUCGUUUGUCAAAGUUUGGACACUUGUUUCUGAAUUCAUUUGAGAUGAUUUUUCGAGCUUUAAAAUCGUGCCAUUAUUUUAAUUUGGAGCUGGAAUUGACUAAGGAUACAUUUGAUUGCAAAUUGAAUUGUCUAGAAAAUGAAUUUUAGGGAAUUGAAUUGCCUAUAAUUGUUUUACUGGGAAUUGUAAAUUAUUGUGUUUGAUUGGUAUAAUUUUUCACGUGGAAAAUAUUGAAAUAAAAGUGUUUUUUAAUGUUCGUUUGACUUUGUUUUACAUGAAAAUUGUCAAUUAAAGGAAAAUAUUUUUUUACAAUAAUUCUUAGAAUUAAUUUCUAUUACAAAAAAAUAAAAAAUAAAAAAAGCCGAAAAAAAUAAUAAUCGCUACAGUAGGGUGAAAUUUGAAUUCUCACCAUAUAUGGUGGGAAUUCAAAUUUCACUAAAACAAGGAAAAUUCCAAGUUUCAAGAAAUCCAAAAAAUGCAAUUCCAUAGAAAAUAUAAGGUAUCAAACACCAAAAGUUGGAAUUUUCAAUUUCAAUUCCAUCUUUUUUUUUCCAUUUUCAUGCUAUCAAACACUCCCUAAGUGAAUUAUUUUCUGUCAAUUAGGGUUUGUUUUAUGAUUUUACGAAAUUUACUUUCCCUAUCAGCAUAGAGCAACCAUCCCCUUCACUCAGUGUUGAGACUGAGUGUGAAAAAUAGAGAUAGAGUUAAAGUGAUGAUUAGAGUAAUUGUCAGUAAUGCUGGAUCAUAUUUCUACUUCCUUCUUUAAAUGCAAAAAUGUUGAUAUUCCAGGUUGUGGGAGAAUCCCGGAGGAAGGAGGAAUAUUUAUGCUUCCCUGAACACUAUUGUUCAUGUUAUUCAUUCUUCUAUGACAUUGUGAACAGAGGGGAACAACUUUGUGUAAUAUUUUCUUGCUGCUUCCAUUAUUUCCCAUAAUUUUAGUUAAUUCUUUCGAUGCUUAUUAUGUAGCUCAUAUGUUUAUGUGUGACCUUUCAGUGUAAGCAUCAACUAGCUGCAAGACUGUCGGCCUCAACUGGAGUAUGCAUUGAUGUGAAGGUUUCUGAUGAGGAACUUGCAUUCUUACUUUCCAAGCUUUGACAACUUUGAAGGACAAGAGAUUUUGCCUGUAGCAAUUGAGGUUAGAAAAAAUUUGAUGAGACUUUAAUUAGUUACCGUAUGUUAUGACUCUUUAACUAGUCACUAUAUGUUAUGACUCCAAGAAUUACUACUACUUAACAUUCGAGUUUCAUUGUUCAGUCAAAUUGAUUGAUUUUUGGAUGCUUGUCUGUUCAUAUUCUAAAUUCGGUUGUGCUACAUCUACACAAUAAGUUUACACAUACAUGAUAUAGUGAAAUAUGAUUGGAUCAGAAUUUUUUUAACUGAAAAAAAAAAAAUCCUCAACUGUAUGUAAACCAUUAUUUAACUGCUUAUGUACAAAUAACAUUAUUCUUCUAAAUUUUACAACAGCAUUAAGGUAGAACUUACUCUUAAAUUCUGGCUUGUUAUGUAUAGUGUCCAAGUGGUUAUAAAUCCACAAGCUAAGACUUAAACGUACCAAUGCAAACAGGACUCUAAUAGUGUCAUUAGAAUACCCCUCUCCUCCUAAAAAAAAUGUCCACAGUAGUCCAUACUUCCACUAGGUGACUUCGUGGAAUCAAUGUUCUACUCAAGUAGUCAUCUCCACUUCUCAUCCCAUCUGCAACGAGAGUCUUCUCCAGAAAGGUGGUCUAUUUCAAUAAAAAUCGUUACCACCACAUUGCAUACAACUCACUUUUAAAUCUGGCCUGUGAGAUGAGUGUUCCACUGUGAUUAUAGUCCACAAGUUAUAACUUAAUUUCAUGGUGUAGAAUGCAAUUAGACUCCUUACACCUGUUUAAAUAUGUAGGUAUAGCUUUGUGGUGUUAUUCUCAACUGUAGAUCUGGACUAUGGAUAAAUGUUUUAGAUAUAAGAAGUUUUAUUCUACUACAAAUUUUGGUUGACCAUUGGUAUAGUAGUUCUGAUGGUAUUUUUGUCCUUGAUCUUUGGACUAUCAGCCCAAUUGGCAUGAUAGUUUUGUAUGUAGACUCCUGGUCUAUUUUAUCGUUGCAGGAGUCAGAAAUGGCCUUCCACCUAGAGAGCGUCAAUUCCUGCCUAAUUUCAACAACCUAGAUGAAAUAAUCAUCAUUCCUGCGUUUGGAAUGGUUAUGACAAAAUCAGAAGGCAAAUUGAACCUUUCCGGUUCAGAAUAACAAGUUCUGACCUGCAACUUUGUUGCAUCUUCCUCUUACCAAUCCCUUUUCUAACAUAUUCUGCCGAGAUUUUUUAAUUUGAAUCUGUGAUCGUGAAGUCGUGAACCUCUUUGAAACUAUGCAAACAUGCUUGAAUCACGUAAAUAGUUCUUCCCACUUUGAUUCCUGUACUAAAUAUUAUUCAAGCAAGAUCAAACAACACUCACGGUACCAGUAUAAAAUUGACGAGCCUAAAUCAGAAAACCAUAUUUUACGUGUUCCACUAUGCAAAAACUUUCAUCCAUCACCAUUCCCUUUUUAUUCUUAAUAAACGUCAUAAUUAAUAACUACAUUGUAACUCAAAUUGAGUAAUGAUUUAAGAAAAAAAUGUUUCCUUUUCGGAAUUAUUCUUCUCUUUGCCCCCAACAUUCUUUAAGGGCCUGUUUGGGAUAGCUUUUCAGAAGUCAAAAGGAGCUUUUGUGGUUCAAAAGUGCUUUUGGACCCGUUUGACUAAUUUUAUAAAAUGACUUUUUCUAAUUGGAGAGGAAGCCACUCCUCUCCAGAAAAAGACAGGAAGUCAAUUUUCUGGUUUAAUGAAAAUUUAAAAUUUCAAUAUUACCCUUACAUUUGUAAAGAGCAAAAUGAAAUUCCAAUCGUGUCCUAAGAAUUCACAACCUUUUCAAUACUCUUCAUAUUCUUCUCCAAUCCCUUUCUUCAGUUUGUGUCUUCAGGAAUUCCUCUCAUCUCUUGGUAAGAUUUUGCAGUUUACCUUCAAUUUCUUAUCAUUUUAUUUUGCAACAACAUUAUUUAUCUACAACACAUGGGUUAACUACAAGAGAUUCAUAUCAUUGCCUUUUUUAUUUUUCUUUUCUGGGUUUUAUUCAAGAAAUGACGGGUUUAAUGAGAAUUUAUCUGGGUUUUUUAAUGUGCCUUUGGUUUUCCAAGAUGGGUUUGUGAUUGGGUAUUCUUGUUCAUCUACAUGCGGCCAAUUGAUGUUAAAGUAGGAAUUUCUUUUAUCAAUGACAUUUUCAUUUUGCCAUAGGCAUUUCAUUUUCUUCGAAUUUCUUGUUUCCGAGUGCUGCUGAGUGGUUUUGUUUAAUGAAUGAAUGCUUGUGCAGUGUAUUUACAUAUAAAGUGAGAAAGCAGAAGUUGGGAAAAUCAUUUUUAAAUGAUUGCAACUAUGGAUUUAAUAUGAAAUCAGUAAAGACAAACUUCUGAGUGUGAUUAUUUUUGCUAUGAUAAGGAAUUUUUAAUUGAACAUUUUAAGAAAAAUGACUCUGACUUUUAUAUAUUAUCUUAAUUGAAAUCAGUAAAGACAGACUUCCGCAUCGGCCAAAUAAGGAAUUUUUAAUCCCACAAGUUACACAAAAUGUAUACUAUGAUUAUACUCUAAAUACAUAAUUCAUUUACCUGUCAGAAAGGAAAUGAAUGGUUAUCAUAUUUUUGCCAUGAUUGAUUCAAUAUCUUUCAUUGAUUAAAACAGCAUAUACUCAUGUCCCUGUUUCUCUAGAUUUUCUGAUUGAAUCUCUGGUAUAUUCGCCAUUUAUAAAGCAAGAAUAUUGAGGAGCAAUUAACUGUAAAUAAAACAUUUUUAAAUGUAGAUGGCAACUGAGGGGAUAAAGGGAAAAUCAAAAGCAAUUUGGGAUGCACGAACACAUGAGAUUUGGGUUGAUGUAGCUGUAGAACAAGUGAGGGCCGGUAACAGAAAUGGAACACACUUGAGCAAAGAGGGUUGGAAACUUUUUACUGAGAACUUUAACAAAGCAACAAAUAGAGAUUAUGAUAGGAAACAACUAAAAAAAUCAUUGGGAUGUAGUAAAGAAAGAGUGGCAGCUAUGGGAUGCAUUGUUAAGAGGAGAAACUGGACUUGGAUGGGAUAUGGAAAGGCAAACUAUAGAUGCUCCAAAUGAAUGGUGGGUUGCAAAACUACGACUAAGAUUGUGUUUGAUUACAUUUAUUUUCCAUGGAAAAUAUCAGUUUUCCAUCCAAAUUCUUAUUUGAAGUGUUUGAUUGCUAUUUUUUUUCUUGGAAAACAUUUUCCAACUUUUGAAAAUAUGUCUAAUUUUCCUUGUUUUUAAGGAAAAUAUUUUCCUUAGGUAGAGGUGAUUUUUAUUUUUCACAAAAGAUGGAAAAUAUUUUCUUUUCUAGGUGAUAUUUUCCAUAUCAAUCAAACACACUUUAAGUGUUUCAAUUUUCUUUAUUUAAGUAUAAUACACCAAAUUAUAUAAUAUUUCUAGGAUUCUAAAUUAUUUAAUAGAAAUAUCCGGAAGCUACAAAAUAUCGUGUGCAGGGCUUAGAUCAUGCAUUCAAAUUAGAUGAAUUGGUUCGCGAUGUCAUAGCCACCGGAGCAAGGGCUUGGGCACAUUCAUCUGGUGUAAUGCAUCCUUUAUAUUCACAAAAUACAACUAUUACUGAAGAUGAUGAUUCUGCUGAAAAUGAACACUUCGAUGGUGACAAUGAGGAAAUAGGGCAUAGCAUUCGCCAAGAUAAAUUGGUUGAGCCAACUAGGAAGCGACUAAGGAAGGGAAAAAAUAAGCAAUCAACAACAACAAAACUAUGCAACCAACUUCAAGAACUUCGUGAAGCUGUUAAAAAUAGGAGCUCCUAUAUACGCACCGAUCCACCUGGAUGUAGUGUUCAAGAGGUUAUGGAUAAGUUGGCUACACUUCCAGGUUGCGAACCAAUGACUCCUCUUUUCAAGCUUGGAUUGGACCUAUUCACAAAGAAAGCAAAUAGAGAGAUUUUUGUAGCUUUAAAGGAACUCAAAUAUCAAAUUGAAUGGUUGAAGGAUCAACAAUACCAACUUUGAAAUAUUUAUCUUAGGGUUAAAGUAAUAUAUGUUGACACGUUUAUUUUGGCAAAAUCUACUACUUUUCUUAUUUGUAAUCUAUGUGAGACUUGUGUUAUUUGAAGGUAAUAUAGAGUUUAUGUUAUUGUAAGGCAUUCACUUGAUGAAUUUAUUUUGUGAAAUUAUAUUAUUUUAUGAAUGUUUAUAUGAUUAUAGAAUGAAUGACGAUUUAGAUGAAGAGCUACAUGAAGAAUACAUAAAUCAAGUUAUGAGAGAUGAAACAGAUUUUAAUGAGCUUGUCCUUACUACUGCAGCUACAAUUGUGCAACAUCAUAACACUUUUUUGGUAAAAGAACCAUGUAGGGAUUCCUCUCAUACAGGAAUGAAGUUUGUUAUGGAGAUUCUUAAUGGAAAUGAUAGGCGAUGUCAAGAGAUGUUUCGAAUGGAGAAACAUGCAUUUUGCAAAUUAUGUGACAGAUUAAGAAGUUAUGGGUUGUGUUCAAGUAAAGGAGUGCAAUUAGAAGGGGCAGUAUGUAUGUUUUUGAUGACAUUGGGACAUGGUGUUGGUAAUAGGAUGAUUCAAGAAAGGUUCCAACGUUAACAAUGAGUAGACAAUUUGGGAUUGUACUAGAAAAAAAUGAUUAAUCCCGCUUUACAAGAAAUUAGACCACUUGAUAAUUAUGAUGAAGUUCCCCUUUAUAUUAGAUCAAAUCCUAAGUAUUGGCCUUAUUUUAAGGUAAUCUAGAUAAUAAAUGUUGAAAUAUCAUAUUUCGUUUGAAAACAUUAUUCUAAUUAUUUUUGCUUUAUUUCUUUUAUUUUAUUUUCUUUUGAUAGGAUUGUAUUGGAGCAAUUGAUGGAACGCAUAUUCACGCAUCACUUCCAACGAAUGAGCAAAUCCCCUACAUUGGUAGAAAGGGAUAUCCUACCCAAAACAUUAUGGCCGUGUGUAGUUUUGACAUGCUAUUCACCUUUGUGUGGCCAAGGUGGGAAGGAACAACACAUGAUACACAUAUAUUUUGGGAAGCUCUAUGAAGCAUUGAUCUAAAAUUUCCUAAACCAUUGGAUGGUUUGUGAUUUUUAUUCAUAAACAAUUUUUAUAUAAUUUGGUAACAUCAUAAGGUCUUUACUCCUAUUGAUAUUUGAAUUGAAAAUUUUGCACAUAAAUACUACUUGGUUGAUGCGGGCUAUCCAAAUAUGAAAGGUUAUUUAGCUCCAUAUAAGGGAGAAAGAUACCAUCUUCCUGAUUUUAGGCAUGGUAGUCAACCUAGAGGAUCUCGAGACGUUUUUAAUCAUGCACAUUCCUCACUACAAAGUGUUAUUGAACGUUGCUUUGGGGUAUGGAAAUCGCGAUGGAGAAUAUUAAAACAUAUGCCAAAUUAUGAUUUUGAUAAGCAAGUAGCUAUUGUUAUGGCUUCAAUGGCACUGCAUAACUUUAUAAGAAGGGAGGCUAUAGUUGAUUUGAAAUUUCAAAAAUACAAUGAGAAAGAAGAUUAUUUGCCUGAUGAUGAAGACUCAAAUAUAAAUUCGACUGUUGAUGAGGGUGAAAUGAGAUUUAUUUGCGAUAGAAUUGCUAAAGAGCUUGUUGUCACGGACCUAGUUUCGUUACACCCGAACAAACUAAAACCGUGCGGCCUUAACGUUCUAUAAUUCCCGCACCUCACGAGAAAACGUUAAGUCAGCCUUUCCACGCCCACAAAUAAUUUAACCAAUGAGGCUAAAUUAUACCCACGUUGAGAAGAGAAUUUUGAAGUAAGUAAUAUAUGGAAAACAAGUAAGAAUGGGGAAACUUUCUUUGUAUAAAUGAAAGGAAAAAUUUUACAAUCUCUCUAAAGAAUAAACUCACUUCACUCUACAUUCUCUACCAUCUACUACAUACCAUUUACAAAUGAGACUACAUCUCUAUUUAUAGGCAAACUUAAACCUCUUUAACAUUCCACUUUACAACUCGUACUUAGUUGUCACCACCUCGUGCUUAGUUGUCGCCAACUCCUUCUUAGUUGUCAUCAAGUGAAUGGUCUUACAACUUGCCUUGCAAGUUGUCGCCAACUCGUGCUUAGCUUGCAUACAACUCGCACUUAGCUUGCAAGUGGCACACAAGUGGACAAAUUGUGCAAGUUGCCCACUUGCAUCUUCAAAAUAUCCGACUGCAGGUUCAUGUAUUUUACCUCCCAAAAUGGCUGGGUCGGGACUUAGAAAAACUUCAUUAACGCCCUGAAAAACUGUACGAUCUAGGCAGUCUGCAUUCUGUCCCAAAACAAUCUACUUGCGUCCCCAGCUCGAAUCUACCUACGACCUUUGCCGAAUCUGCCUGCGUCCCCUAUCGCAAGCUGUUCCGUCCUUCUGAAACGCGUUACCCGCGUUAUCUUGCGAUCGCUACCGGGACGGAUCGAAUGCGAUCGUGUGAGGCGUAAGACACUCUCCCACUGAAUUUGGCGACGCACUCAUCACCAUAUAUCGUCGAAGCAUAGACCUUAUUUGCCAUAAGUCUAUCUCAUUUUCCCACCUUGUGCCAUGGCAUUCCCGUGUCAUGCCAAGCUUUAAGUCAUGAUCUUGCGAUCCGUGACAUUCUUCCCUACUCAAUCCGCUAACGUCCUCGUAGCGAAACGUGUUCGGUGCAUCCUCAUGCAACCUUGCAUUGUCUUCCACGUCCAUGAGCAUCAAAGUUCUCCCAACUUGCGGCACCAUCUCCUUGAUGACCGGGUUUCCACAGUGCCCCUUGCACCUCUUCUCGUUGCAACAUCUUGCAUGCCACCUUUGACACCAACCUUCACUCUCAGCACCUCUGCCUUGAUUCCUCGGAUGGACAACUCCUCCGAUUGUAGUGUACCCACACCUGUCGAAGCUUUAAACCUUUGUGCACCCAAUUUCGGACUUCUUUGAUAAUGCUUCCUCACUUUCCUUAUUUAUCAGUAGUUCCCUCGGCAACUCCGCCAGCAUAAUGUCCUUAUCAUCUUCAAGGACUUCCGCUAACUGCAUCCCUGACAGUUGUUGUGUUUCCAUCCCCACGAAAACAUUUUCAGCACUCAUAGCAUUAAACAACUGCAAUGAAUUCAUUUGAACUUCAUCCUCAUCUUGGCUAUCUAUGGCCUUCGGUUUGCUCUUCGAAAUGGAAAUAGAUGCCAAUGAUCCUAAAUUAGGACAAUCCCUCAUGAGAUGUGGUCCUUUGCAAAUAAAGCAACCUCGAGGUGUAAAAUUACUCCUCUUCUUGUCCUCAUACUACUUACUCCAAGUAGUUGGUUUGCCAACGGGUUUGUAAUCAAUUUUGGGAUUUGGCCUCCAAUCCGGCUUACUGGCGGGUUUAAUAGUUUUAGCUUCGGUCUCAAGAUUUUCUUCAAACUCCGUCAAGGAUUUGGCUACUGCAAUGGCCUCGUCUACGGUUUUAACAUCACGACGUUGUAACUCUUGUCGCACCCACGUUGUACAACCAUCUAGAAAAUAGAAUAGCAUAUCCUCCGGCAUGGUUAGGAUUAGAAGCAUAAGGGUCGUGAACUCUUUGACAUAGUCACGAAUUGUUCUCGUAUGUUUCAAUUCCCUCAAUUUCUUGCGCGCCUCAUAGACGACAUUCUCCGAGUAGAAUUGCCUCUGUAUUCCCCUUUUGAACUCAUCCCAAGUAUCAACCUUACAAGCCCCCUUUGCGAUUUCGACAUGCUUACGACGUCACCACAACGCCGCAAUAUCCGAGAGAUACAUAAAAGCAGUUCGAACUUUCAUGGCUUCAUCAACAAGAUUUACGCCUUCAAAGUAAACUUCCAUUUGCCAUAGGAAGUUUUCCACAUCUUUGGCAUCACGUUGCCCAUCAUAAUGUUUAGGCUUCGGGUAUUCAAUCCUCGGGGCAACAAUAGUUGAAGCGGCACCUUCGCUUGUACCGGCAGUGGAGUGCUUGUAUUGAUCAAGCUCCUUACUCAUUCUUUCCAUCAUCACGACCAAUUGGUUAACUUGGCCUUGCAUAGCAGUAAAGACAUCCAAGACUUUGGUUUGGAGACGACCAAAAUCAUCCAUCACCGUGGCUUGUCCAGCUACCACAGCUCGAACAUCAUCUCUCAUCGUUUGGACAUCAUUUUUCAAUGAUGCUUGUGUGUCCAUCACCUCUUGGACAUUAACUUGUAGAGUUUCUAUCUUUCCAAUGGCGUGUCCCUCCAACGCCUCGAAUGAGUUUUCAAGAGAUUCGACCCGAUCACUCAUAUUUGAGAUGAUUUGGUCAAGUUUCCCUUCCAUGUGGGUGGUUUCCCUCACCUUACUUUUCCCUCUAGUUUUCCUUACUUCAGUUUGGGUAGCACCUCGGCCCCUCUCCUCAAUCUCAAUAUCAACAGUUUUUUGAGAUUCCGCCAUUUGAGCACCUCACCCAAAUCCAGCUUCCAAGAAUCUCCGACGAAUCUGGCUACCACAGCCGCACUUGGUUACCACUACCAAACCUUCGCCUUGAUACUGCUUCCGUAGUCCACAUCACGUGAACUUAUCACGGACGUCACCUCACCUCAGAGAUGAAAAAUUGGUUCAACCCUACGUGAACCUUGCUCUGAUACCACUUGUCACGGACCUCGUUACACCCGAACAAACUAGAACCGUGCGGCCUUAACGUUCUACAAUUCCCGCACCUCACGAGAAAACGUUAAGUCGGUCUUUCCACGCCUACAAAUAAUUUAACCAAUGAGGCUAAAUUAUACCCACGUUGAGAAGAGAAUUUUGAAGUAAGUAAUAUAUGGAAAACAAGUAAGGAUGGGGAAACUUUCUUUGUAUAAAUGAAAGGAAAAACUUUACAAUCUCUCUAAAGAAUAAACUCACUUCACUCUACAUUCUCUACCAUCUACUACAUACCAUUUACAAAUGAGACUACAUCUCUAUUUAUAGGCAAACUUAAACCUCCUUAACAUUCCACUUUACAACUCGUACUUAGUUGUUACCACCUCGUGCUUAGUUGUCGCCAACUCCUUCUUAGUUGUCAUCAAGUGGAUGGUCUUACAACUUGCCUUGCAAGUUGUCGCCAACUCGUGCUUAGCUUGCAUACAACUCGCGCCUAGCUUGCACGUUGAUAAUAUCUUUGCCAACUCGUGCUUAGCUUGCAUACAACUAGCACUUAGCUUGCAAGUGGCACACAAGUGGACAAAUUGUGCAAGUUGCCCACUUGCAUCCUCAAAAUAUCUGGUUGUAGGUUCAUAUAUUUUACCUCCCAAAAUGACUGGGUCGGGACUUAGAAAAACCUUAUUAACGCCCUGGAAAACUGUACGAUCUAGGCAGCCUGCAUUCUGCCCCAAAACAAUCUACUUGUGUCCCCAGCUCGAAUCUACUUGCGACCUUUGCCGAAUUUGCCUGCGUCCCCUAUCACAAGCUGUUCCGUCCUUCUGAAACGCGUUACCCGCAUUAUCUUGCAAUAGCUACCAGGACGGAUCGAAUGCGAUCGCGUGAGGCGUAAGUCACUCCCCCACUGAAUUUGGCAACGCACUCAUCGCCAUAUAUCACCGAAGCAUAGACCUUAUUUGCCAUAAGUCUAUCUUAUUUUCCCACCUUGUACCAUGACAUUCCCGUGUCAUGCCAAACCUUAAGUCAUGAUCUUACGAUCCGUGACAUUGUGCUUAGAUGAACAUUGUUUUCUUAUUGUUUCCAAUCUAAAAUUGUUGCAUUUAAAUUUAUAUUUUAUGUAAUUAAUUAUUUUUGUUUUAUUUUUAAUGUUGCUUUCUUGAUCAAUUGGUGCAUUAUUGAACUAUCAAAAUAAUAAUCUCUUCAUACAAAUUCAUUAGUAGUUGACAAAUGCAUUUCUAGCUUCCUUUCACAGUCUACUCUUUUUUUAUUGCCGUAGAAGAGAAUUUACAUAUUUUAUGCCAAAUUUUCUUUAGAUUUGAAACGAGCUCUAUUCAUUUUGGUGAAUUUGUAUAAAAACUGUCAAACAACCUUUUUAGUGUAAUUAAAAUUAAAAUUUUAGUAAAUUUUGAUAGAAAAUGAUAAAUAUGUAAUUAAAAAAUUGAUAACAAUUAUGAAUUACAUAAAAUAUGUGAUUAAAAUUAAUUGUUAAGUCACUAACUUCAAUUUAAAUUGUUGUUUUUAUUUAAUUUGACUAUAUAAUUUAUAUCUAUGCUUUACUAAUAAAAUUUUAAUAUGAUAAUUAAAGUAAUACAUUCUCAUCAUUAAGGGUAAAAAUGACAUUUUUAAUGCCAUAAUAGCUUUUGGCAUGAUCAUACCAAACACAAGUAAAAGCUCUUCCGGAAGAAAAAAGCUCUUUUAAAAUUGGUUAUCAAACACUAACUCAAAAGCCCGGACUUCUACUUCUCUUCUUCUACUUGUCACAAGCAUAAGCAGAAGCUAUCUAAAUCAAAACGGAAGACAUUAAACACGCUACAACACACCAAGAAAACACAAGUAUCAAACUGAGGAAGCAAACAAAUACAACAAAAACGCAUAGAAGAAGAUCAAGUUAAGCGACGAUCUUGUAGGCUUUCAACUUGUCAAUCCAUGAAAUGAAUGAAUUCUUAGAAUUCCGGAAUCCCAGAAAACCGUGCUCCUUGCUCUUGUUCAUGGUAUCCAAUAAACAUUUCAAGCUAAGCAUAGUAUCGGCAAACCACCAAACCCCGACAUCCUCCAAUUUAGUAGGUGUUAAUCCAUUCUCCCGCACAAUUUCAUCCCAGACCUUCCCUUUAUCCUUCAUCAUCUCCAGCAGUGUCAGAUUCUUCCCCUCCUCAAACUCUUCAUAUUCCAUCCCGAAUUGCUCAGCCAAUAUCCUCCAGAAAUGUUUCCACUUGAAAACAUCCCCAUUGCUGAUAUUGAACGCUUCAUUCCUAGCAUAGGGAUCCACUGCCGCCCAUAUCUGAUGUUCAGCAAUCAAAUCUGCAUCAGAACAAUCGGAAUAUCCAUCCCACACAACCUUACUUCCUGGAAACCUCAAUGGCAUACCCUCGUGCUUACAUAUGGAGGCAUAAACACAUAGGGUAGCAACUAAGUUCAUCAUACUAAAUGGAGAGAAUCCAAAUAUUAUCCCUGGCCUAUGAAUCGACCACGUCAAUCCCUCCUUCUUUUCCACCUCCUCGAACAGGAUAUCCUCAAGAGUAUAGUAAAAAUUCGGGCAAUCCAAACGUGGCAAAUCCUCGUGGAAAGGAGGAUCGUGAGGUCUUAUCUUUCCAAAGGAUUCAAAUGAACCAAUGUAAUGCUUCCUUCCUGUUUGCAAACAAAUAUGCUUCAAAUUAGGACAAUUGGUGAUAACUGCAUCAAGCACAUUCUUUAACAUUUUGCCAUUGGCUUUGCAAUUCUCAGCCUCCGUGGAUCUAUUGGUCCAUGUGACAUAGAAGAUGUGUGUGACAUCCGUUAGCGGUGACAGCUUUGCUUGAGCAUCCUCAUGAUCUGAGAUGUCGCAUCGGAUGUAUUGAAUUGGAUUGUCAUCAUUCCAAGACGGCUGGGGACGGCGGGCAACGCCGUAGACCUUCCAGGGGCCGCCGGGGGUAUCGGCGAGCGGGAGGAUUUCCGCCAGACUGUUGCCCACGAUGCCGGUGACACCGAUUACUAGAGCCACGCUAUGAUGUUUGAUCGUUGCCUCAUCUUCUUCGAAUUUUUUCUGUUUCAAGAUCAAAUCAUACAAGGGUUUUAACCGCUAGAAACUACUCAUAUCCACACACACAUAAAUAGACGCACAUACAAUCCGUAUACAGAUGCUGAAUAUAUCUGAUAUGAAUAAACUUACCUUUGCAGCGCCAAUAGCUCCGGCCCACCACCAACUCAUUUUUAGCAACAGCGGUUGCGAAUUCUGUGUUUGUGAGAGAGAGCGCGAGAGAGAGUAGUCUCUGUUUCUUUGGAGUGUGAUAAACCACAAAAUGAGAGAGAGAGAGGCUUCUACUAGUCUCUGUCAAAAUGAUUAGCCCUUGUUUGAUCCAAUCAUUUGGUCAAGAAUGCAUUUUAAAAUAGUAGAUUUAAAAUAAUAAAUAGAUGAAAAAUGUAUUAUUAAAAAAUAAGAAAAAAAUUAAAUUUAUAUGUAAUAUUAUUUUAUUGAAUAACAUGUGAUUGAGAAAAAGAGAGAAUAUAUUUUGAAAACAACUUAUAUCAAACAAGGUCUAGAUAGGGUCAAGACUGUAUAUGCCGAUUUUUUUGUUGUUGUCUGUUUGGAGAAUUAAUCCUUAUUGGCCUCUUGAAUUAUUGGUAUUCGUAAAUAAAUAAUAUUUUAUUACAUUAUAUGUGCAUAAAAAUUUAUAAAUUUAUUUAUCAACGUAUUAUAUGAUGAGAUAUGAUUGAGUGAAAAUUUCGUUAACGGAAAAAUGUUCUUCCACCUUUUUUGUCAUUAACCCACGUUACAUAAGUAUGCUGUUUAAGUGGUGAAGAAAUUUUUUGAUAAUUUUAAUUUAACUUAUAAGUGCUUGUAAAUAAAUAAUUUUUUAUUACACUAUAUGUGCAUCAAAAUUUAUAAAUUUAUUUAUCAAUAUAUUAUAUAAUGAGAUUUGAUUGAGCGAAAAUUUCGCCAAUGGAAAAAGUUCUUCCACCUUUUUUUUUAUCAUUAACCCACAUUACGUAAGCACAUCAUUCAAGUGGUGAAGAAUUUUUUUGAUAAUUUUAAUUUAAUUUAUUGUCACCUCUUCAAUCUAUAAAGGAUGAAGUAUAAAAAAUAUUUUUCAAUAAUUUUUAAUCUGAUGUAACUUUUUUAGAAGUAAGAGAACAUUCAAUAUAAGUAAGGAGAAUAUGAUAAGCUACCCGUCAUAUGUUUUUGGAUAAUAAAUUAAAAUAAUAUUUUUUUGAUGGAAAUAUGGUUAAAAAUUAGAGAAAUGUUAUGAAUUUAUGUACCAAACAUGGGCUACAUAAGCUUUUCAGCGUGUCAAAUGUUACGAGCAUGGAUAGAAUGUCGUGCGAAGCAACUUCUUUAAGAAAUGUUUUGAGAAGCUUGUAUUUUAUUUUAUUUUUCGCAUCAAUGAUCUAAUAAAUUGUCAUUUCUAUCGCUUCAAAUUGGAUUUGAUCUAUUGAACAUGUAGUUAAAAAAGGUGUCACGUAUGAACAUGUAAAAAAGACAAAUAAGAUCCUAAUUUAUUUAUUCAUUUUUAAAUAAGAAGUUAAUAAGAAUUCGUUCCACAUUAUUACAAAAUAAUUUUAAAUGAAAUAAUUAGAUAGAGGUGAACGUGCAACCAAUCUAUGAACUUGAUAAAAUUGCUUACCAACAAGCUACAUAUUUAACCGUUUGUGUCGUUAGUUUCAUGAAAAAAUUUCCCUUGAUUGGCAAAACAAAGAAAAUAAGAGAAAUUUUCAGUUUUAUAUUUUUGGAACUUAAGCGUGUCAUGUAUCUUCCGUCACUUGUGAAUAGUCACUUGUGAAUAAUGAUCACUCCUCUAAUACUACGAUAGAUAUAGGGAUGUCAACGAGUCGAAAGUUUCGGCUCGAGCUCGACUCGAUUAAAAUUGUCGAGCUUUUUUUGGGGCCCGAGGCGAACAAAAGCUCGCCCAAAAAUUUUAGGCACGACUAGGCCUUUUUCUAUCUUUCUCUCUCUCUUUUUUUUAAAUAUAUAUAUAAUUUAAGCUACUGCCUUUUUUAAGGCAGUUUUUGCUAAAAACUUGCGAGCUCACGGGCCGGCUCGGGCAAAGCCCGUGUCCCCAACAUGGAGCUCGGCCCGAGCUUAGGCUCGGGUCUACCAAGCCUCGAGCCGAGCCGGCUCGGGCUUUUCGCGGGUCGAGCGACGGGCGGCCCGAGUCAACGAGCCCAAUUGACAUCCCUAAAUAGAUAUGAUUAUAAUUCAAAUUUCAACAUAAUAUAAAUGAUAUAAGGGUUUUUGUUAGCCCGAAUAUCAGCGAGAGUUAAAUUAAAUUAAUGAGACUUGAUCUUACAAUCUUAUGAUAUAAACUAUUUUUAGUAUUAAAAUUAAGCAAUUUUCUCAUUAGAUCUUAGAAAUUGUAAUGUGUGUAAUGUGACUUGAGCCUGUUGACCAGUAUUAGGUUUGACGGUCUAUCCUUUUUUUUUUUUUUUUUUGGUCGGUUUUCGAGAUGUACAAGUAUAAAUGAGAAGGCUUUCGAGUUUAUUAAUGAUCUCAACUGUGUCUUGUACGAUAAGCUUUCCUUCGGGCCUCAAAAUCCGAUCAGCCUCCGUAACCAGGGCCAUGAAAUUACACCUGAGACCCGGAAUUCAAAAUAACUAGAAGAAAGCAUAUAAACUUAAGCAUCAAAUCUAGUUAAUUGAGUCUUAUGUACACACUUGUUUUUAAUCUUUGAAAAGAGAUGGUCUGCAUACGAUUCACAACAGUCAUGAUAAAUUCCAAAUAGACCUCGUUCAUAAAUAAUCGGUAGAGUAUCAGGAGCAUCUAUGGAGACAACGUUCAUAACCCACAACUUCAUAUCUUUAAGAGCAGCAGCAAAUCCGCAGAGGGAUCACCAUCACUUAGUACAAGCCGAAUGGCAACCAAACAUGCUAUUUAAUUACAGAAAUAAUGGUAUAAAUGUAACACUCCAAAUUUUAAAUUUUUAAUUUCAUGUAGGCUAAAUUUAAUGUUGAUAAUUUAGCAAAUAAAAUAAUCCAUGUCCAACAUUUUCGUAACACUAAAGACCAAACGUUGAAGUGAUAAACAUGUCUCACUUAUUUGCAUAAAUGGUUUAUUUUGCAUACGUAUAUUUUUGAAAUUAUCGUAAGUUAUUUGGGUCGAAUAUUUAAAUAUUUCAAAAGUUGAUAAAAUACAUCGAUAUUAUACUCAUUUUGUAGCUCGUGCCAAAUAACAUAAAUUGGCUCAAGAAGAAAUAAUUUUGAGCUAGCCAUAAUCGAAUUAUCUUGAUAGAAAGAAAAUUAUUCUAAUCCUAUAUUUUAUUAAUAAAAGAUAUAUAAUGACAGAUAUAUGUUAAAAUAGUAAAAUUUUAAAUGGUAAAAUGAAGAUGGGAUGUUUUUGGAAUUGAAAACAUAGAUAUCAACCACUUUUAAUUAAUAUUAAAAUUGAUCAUUUCAACUCCCAUCAAUGAAUAAUAAUUUACACACUCACCAUGAUUGAUUAAUGUAAAGAAUAGGCUAUUGAAUUCACACCUAUAUAUAUAUAUAUAUUGAGAGGUGUUUUUUCCCCUUACAUUAGAGAUGGAAAUCGAACUCAUCGACUCGGGCGGCCCGUUGCUCGGCUUGGAAAAAGCUCAAGCCCGCUCGGCUCGAGGCUCGGGAGAAUCGAGCCAAGACUCGGGUCGAGCCCCAUUUUGGGAUGUUGGGCAGAGCUUCCAGCUCGGUUUGGAAAGGCCUGAGUCGAAAGCUCGAGUCGAGCCUAAUUUUUUUGGUUGAGCUUUUGCUUGGCAUGACUCGGGUCCAAAAACAAGCUCAAAUCAUUUUUACCUGAGCCUAGCCCGAGCCAGCUAGGCUCGACUCGUUGACAUCUCUACCUUACAUACACACGUGAAAACACAUAUUAAAAGAGAUAUUAUUUUAUUUACAAGCCAUUUUCAGAUUUAUUUUUAAAUUUUUAUUUUUAUUUUUUUUUGAGUAGCAAAUCAAGGUAAGAAAUGUGCAAAUGAUUAAUUUUUAUUCUUGGUAUUUUUAUAGAAUUUUGGCAUGAAAUACGUUAAGGUCUUUGGGUCGAUUUUUAUGUUGAAUCCUACGGGAUUGACCGUUUAGUCAAGUAUGUAAAUCCUACGGGAUAUUUUUAUAUUAAAAGAAUAUGCACGUUUUUCUUACUGGGUAUUCUUUUUAAAAAAAUACCCACUCUUACUAUAUUUUCAAAUUAGAACGGGUCGUGUGAACGCGUGACGGAUUGAUCGAGUGAUGCUCAUGGGUCACCAAGUAAAAUUUCUAGAAAUAAUAAUUUACAAAGAAAUCUCAUUUGAAAAACACAUUUAUGUUUUUAUAAGAUUAUUUGCCAAUUUCUAUUUUAAGAAUAACUUUAUUUUAUGUUUAAUUUCGUGCAUAUUAUCUUAGUAGAUUUGAUAUUUAAGUUAUUUAACAUGUUCAAUUGACAGUUUAGUUCGUAAUAUUUUAAGUUAGAUAAACUUCAAAUUUUUAUUUGAAUUGUUGAAUUUACCUUAUUGAUUUAAUACCAAAAUUUAUACAUUAGUGUUAAAUUCCGCUUAAAUUAUAAAAGAAAGAUUUUGGUAACACUUCAAAUAUUUUAAAAAGAAACAAAAAAUAAAAAAAUAAAUGUCUAGUGGAUUUGGGACAUUAUAGUUUGAUACAUAGCCCAGAUUUAUCUUUUUGGAGAUCGAAAAAAAAAAAUUAUAUCAUUAUGCGUAAUUUUAAAUUUUGUUAAGUGAAUUUUGGUAGCCCCAAUAUCUAGACUAUGGUUUUAUGACUGAGUGUAUUAAAAAAUAAAUAAAUAAAUAAAAUUGGUUGAGAAACAUGAUUAGUUGAAUUCUGCCAUCAAUUUAUGAAAAAGUUUAAUUACUUCAUCUUCCCAUGAUUCUUAUAUAAUUAAUGUUCUAAAAUCUUACUAUCGUUAAAUGUCCAUGGGCUUUGAGUUUUUAAGCAAACACGUGUAAAUGAAUAGAGCAUCCUAUAAGUUGUUUGUUCAUUUUAUUUCUUUUAUGGUCCAGUCAUUGUACCUUUAAUGCAAGCUAGCUGUAUUAAAAAAAAAAAAAAAAAAAUGAUUAAGCACUAUGGUUUAUUUAAGUUUUUAUUGAUUUCUUGCCAUUACGGUCACUGUACAUUGUGAAUCGUUAAAAUGGUAAAAGUCUUUUCCAAAAUAUUUAAUUGUACAAUAUUAGUUUCUGUUCUAGUGAAUGUAGAUAAGUGAAAAAAAAAAAAAGUUGUUCACAUGUUUAAUUUUAAGUUCUAUAUGUGAUGUGAUUUUAACUGAAACUUAAUCAAGUAUUAAAAUAAGACCCAUGACAUUUAGUGCUUGUCAAUCAGCUACCAUCUGAUGAACCAAAGGUAUAAACGAAAUGUUAUGUUUAAGCUUACCUUCAAGCAUGAUUUAUGAAGUAUUUAAACUUGAUUUCAAGAAAUGCUUAUAAUGUUUAGAAUGAAAUAUGUUAUGCAUGCUAUUAUUUUAUUAUACAUGAAGGUAUAUGAAUUAACAAUCCUAUUAAAGCCAUGAGAGCGUAACAUAUACGUCGAUGUUACUGCAAAAAUAAAUAUGAUUGGACCCUUAUGUGACAGACAUGAUUAGAACUUAUGAGACCGCUAGAAAGGCCACAGCUUAUAGAGCAGUAUUAAACCGUAGGUCCAUCAUUCAAUCUUAUGAGAAUUAUGUGACUGACCCAACCACUUGUCGAACACGUGCAAGACAUCUAUGAAAGAUGUAUGGCAGCUAUGGAGGCAGGACUGGAGAUCACGCAUACUGAGACUGUGAAUAAUCUCAUACACUCAUUUCCAUCUCAAUGGGGAGACAUGGUAGUUGUGGUUAAGGAUGAGAUGUUAGAAGGUAACCCCCCAGAGCAUCCAAACGUGAUUGAGUUUGGUAUAUAUUGUCAGACCCUUCUAGACAGGCGGAGUAAAAACUUAGAACCCCAAUUGGAGAUAAGGAAUGAGCUUGGUGAUGAGGUUGAGCCCGAGCCAGAACCUCAAAUAAAAUCAGACCCAGAGGAAGAUCCUGAAUGGGAGCAACGAUCAUGAGCAUGAACUUGAGCCACUGGUUGAGAUUGACGUAGAGUCUGGGCCUAAGGUAGAAGACUCAUCUGAAGAUGAAGCUCCAUUAAAAAAGAUUCACAGAAUUCAUAGGGAAUAGAAACUUAGAUUCCAUUUUCUUAGUACUGUGAUAUCUUUACCUUUAUGCUAUUGGAAAUAAAUAUAAAAAAUAAAAUUGUCAAACUAUUAUAUAUCAUGAUUUCAAGGAAUACUAUUAAUAAAAAAAAAUUAAUUUCCUUUAAACAUAUUGAGUUACUAUGUUGUCCAACAUUUUUAAGAGAAAAUUUAAUUUGUUAAAGGAAAUGGUGGGACAACAAGACCAAGCAGUUAUGUUUAGGGAUCUGAUAAGGGCAGUGCAUGACCUUGGUAGGAACCAAGCACCCGCACCAGCUCCUCAGAAUAGACCAACAAAUGCUAACAACAUAAGUUCAAUUGUGGAGCAGUUUCACCGUUUUAAACCUCCUUCUUUUGAUGGUAAGGUAAACUCUUUGGCAGCCGAGGAGUGGUUACGAGGGCUAGAGUGAAUCUACAAAUACAUGGCAUGCACUGAUGUACAGAAGGUAUCAUGUGCCGAUUUUAUGUUGAUCGAAGUAGCAGGCCACUGGUGGGAGUUUGCUUCGCGCACUAGAACAAAAGCACAGCAAUGUGCUAUGACUUGGGCAUAGUUCAAGAAAAGAAAUAAUGACAAAAUACUUUCCCCAAUCACCUAGGGAUUGGAGAGAAGCAGAGUUCCUACAGCUGAAACAAGGAAAUAUGUCGCUUGAUGAGUAUGAAAGGAAAUUUGAACAACUUUCUAGGUAUGCUACACACCUUGUUGAUAUCGAGCCAAAGAAGGUUAGGAGGUUUGAAUUAGGCUUGUGUCCAGAGAUUGGAGGAAUCAUGGCAUCUCACCAUAUGACUACCUAUAGUGAAGUGCUUCGGCGAGUGCAGUCAAUUUCUGAUCAUCUAGAAAUGGAUUGGAUGACUGAGAAGAAUAAUGAAUCAUAUGGAAAAUGAAAGUAGAAUGGAUCAAAUAAAGGGAAAGGAUUUGGAUAGUUUAAGAAGUCCAAUACAGGAUUAGGAUCAGGAUCAAGUAAACUAAAUAAAGUUACUUUACGAUGCCCAAAUUGCAACAAGGCUUAUGGAGGAGAGUGCUUGUUUGGGAAAAAUGUGUGCUAUCAUUGUGGCUAGGAAGGCCAUUUUGCUCCGGACUGCAAGGCAUACCCACCUAAGGAGGAUAACGAACAAGGCAAGAAAGUGAAAGUCGAAGUUUUUGCUUUCACCCAGGAAGAGGUAGCAGAGGAUCCGAAUGUAAUGACAGGUAUUCUAUCAAUAUCUGAACUACCUGCAUAUGUUCUUAUAGACUCCGGAGCUACUCAUUCAUUUAUCUUCACCGCAUUUAUUGUUAAAUCAUGUACUGCAUGUGAAAAAUCUAAUAGUGUUCUAGAAAUUUUCAUUCUAUCCGGUAGAAUUUUGAAUACCAAUCAGAUCGCUAGGCCAGUCAAAUUAGUAAUGGAAGGAAAAGAAUUUAUAACUGAUCUAUACCUCCUAGACAUGAAAGACUUUGACGUUGUUCUAGGAAUGAACUGAUUGGGAAGCAAUCACGCAACCAUUUGAUGUUUCGAAAAGGAAGUAGAUUUUCAGAGGCCUGGGGAGGAUAAGUUUCGAUUUUUUGCUGUACGAGUUAAGCCUUUACCUUGACUCGUAUCGGUUAUGAAGGCAGAAAAGAUCUUACCAAUAAUUUCUAGUGAGUAUCCAUGGAUAUUAGCAAUCAGAGCUUACUAUUGGUAAUGUGUAACACCCCAAAUUAAAUAAACAUAACGUCACGUAAACAUAGAACAUUAAACUAAAUUAAACGAAACACAUAAUAUCAUUGGUUUGAAAGGGAUUCGAACACUGGACCUUCAAUUUGUAUGUGAAAGCUCUAACCAAAUGAGUUACAAUAGAUGCUUUCACUUUUCACCAAAUAAUAAAAUCUUUUCAACAUGGCACUGUGCAAAAAUAAAGUUACUUAUUUCAAUCGGUUAUGUUACUUCAUUCACGUAUAUUUGUUUUCUGAUGGGCUAUAUCAUCUCUGCACAUCUAGGAUCACAUGCUCUGCCUCUCUUCCCAUUUUCUCAUGAAGCUUUCUGCCCAUGAGAUGUCCUUGAAGAUCUCGUAAGGCAAAGUGUUGUGAUUCUGGUGAAAUUUUAGUCAUUUGUCUCCGUUUUUGUCCAUAUGGCUAUAAAUUUUCAUGAUGCUCAUACAACUUUUAGGAUCUAGUUUGUUUAGAUUUAGAGGCAAGCAUGGUGUCGGUAGAAUGGAGUGUGUAUCUGUUAUUUAAUUGUUUCUUUGUGAUCAUCUCUUUUUGUUUAUCUAUUUCCAGUCAAAAUCUCAUUUAAGAUGCUAAAUUGUAAGUUUAUAAUUUCCAGGUAUCAAGAUCUAUUGGCGAUGUCUAUCUGAAAAAACCCGACUUCAACAGAGACCCCCUUUUCUUACAAUUCGGAAAUCCUGUUCCUUUGAAGAGACCACUAUUAACAGCUGAACCCUCAAUUGUAACUCGGAAGCUCAGGCCACAAGAUUUGUUCUUAAUCUUUGCCUCAGAUGGCCUCUGGGAACAUCUCAGUGAUGAAGCUGCUGUGGAUAUUGUAUAUAAUGUAAGUGUUAUGCCCUAGAUCCAAUCGAUUUAGGUUGUAAACGCGUAAUAACGAGAUAUGGAUAUCGUUAAUACAGUUAGACCAUCAUGUGUGGCAUUUCUUACUUGUGAAGUAAGUAGCUGAUCUCACGAGUUAAAGUGUGGUGACACUUAAAUGAAGACGUGGAUGUUUUGUUAUAGAACAAAACAUUGGAGACCCGCUAAGAGAUUCCACAUGGAUAACUAUCUGAGUGUCAGUGGCUAAUCUCUAACGUUCGGUAGUGGAAUUGGUCCUUUGACUUGAGGUCGUCCUGAUACCUUAUAUGAGGACAGUCAUACUUUGGCGGUGUUGGAUGUUGCUCUGAAAGGGGCCGCUAAUACGACAUCGUUCGGGUACGUCAAGAAUCGUAUGAAGGUUGUGAUUGAUCAAUAAAGGAUUCGUCACUCUUAGAUAGUAGGAAAUUAUGAUCUGCAUUUCAUUCAAUUAAGUCGAUGAUGAAAUCCUUGGCCAAGGUGUACUCAUAAGUCGAAAAGGAGUUUUCGAUUUAUAUUGACUUAAUAGUGGAGUGAAAGAUAUGAUCAAUGAUCGAGAUUGACACAAUUUCAUAUCUCGUAAUUGAUCGGAUCGUAUUGACGAAAGGAUAAUAGUUCCACAGUAAACGAACGAAUUUGGUUUUGUCAUACCACGUGACAUUUCCGGUCACAUGUAUUGCCCUGACACAUUGCUAGAUGUCAAUCAAGGACGGCGAAUGUGAAUUGACGAUAAAUUAAAAGGGUGUAUUAAUUUAUCAAUUUUGAUUAGAUCAAAAUAAUAUUUCACGACGUCAGACAUUGUGGUCGGGAACCUAAUGGGUCGCACACAAAAGAGAAUUUGAAGACUGCAAAUUGUCAAUUGAUUAAUUUAACAAUCGUUGAAUAAAUUAAUUAAUUGAAUUUGUUAUUUAUAAUCCCGAAUCAAUUAAUUGGAUUAAUUAAUUCACGGAUCGGGUUUAAUUAAUUGAAUUAAUUAAAUAUUGGACCAGACCGGGCCGGGUCCGUUUGGGUUUAUAUAUAUAUGCAGCUAGGGUUUGAGGUCCAAUAAUGUUUUCAUUAUUCUUGCUGGCACAAGAAAGAAACCCUAGCAGUUGCUGUCUACUCUCUGUGUGGAUUACAUUGGAGGCUGGACAAUUGGACAGCUGUGGGAGGCAGAUUCAAGCUGCUGGAAAGGAAUAAUGCGAAAGAGUUUGCAAAUUACAAGUAAAGGUAUAUUUCUUAUCACAAUUUUUAUCUAAAUACAAAGCUAAAUCCUGAAUGGGAAUUGAAACUUGUUAAAUUCCGCUGUGCAUGUUUAAGUAAAUUCCCAACAGUGGUAUCAGAGCCGACUUUGUAUUUGUUAAGAACUGUUUAACGUGUUGAUUAAAUUAAAUGUUAGUUUAAUCACGUUCAUUCCUAAAUCUAGCAAAUAUAGUUUUAAAUUUUUUUUGUCUUUUUGGAUCUGUUCUUGAANNNNNNNNNNNNNNNNNNNNNNNNNNNNNNNNNNNNNNNNNNNNNNNNNNNNNNNNNNNNNNCUGCCACCAGCAGCGCCUCGCGCUGCUGGUGUUUUCUCAUGGGCGGCGCCGCCCCAGAAAGAAGAGAAGAAAAAAAAAAAAAAUUUUUUUUUUUUUAGGGUUUUGGUGGAGGCGGGGGCCUCUGUUGCAAUUAAUGUAAUUUGGGGCCCCUGGUUGCAAUUACACAAAAGGGGUCAAUUUGCAAAUUUUAAAUCAGGGACCUAUUCUGUAAAUUUCGAUUUUAGAAGGGUCUGCUGUUAAUUUCAUUUUGGGUAACUUUUGUAAAAUUUCAAAAAGGGUUUUGAUUUUGAAUUUUGAAUUAUUUUAUAAUGAGUUUUAAAUUGGGUUUGACCCAUACCCUAAUUUUGACCCAAAAUUAAAAAAAAUAAAUUUUAUUUAAAAUUUGACGACUUUUAUAUUUUUGUUAAAAUUAGAUUUUAACUUAAAUAUUUAAUUUGACCCUUAAUUGAAUUUUUAUUAUAUUUUGGAAUUUUGUCCUAAAUUAAAAUAUUAAUUCAAUUUUAUUAGAGUUGGAUUCUAAUAUUAAAUUAAUUAAAUUUUGUUUUGAAUUAGCACCACUUCCCUAUGCAAAUUAGCACUUAGAGUAUGACUCUAAUUUAAUAAUUAAUUAAAAUUCGAUUUUGAUUAAAUUACCUCGCCCAAUAGUUAUGGAUUUAGAGUUGGACUCUAAUUCGAUAUUUAGUUAAAAUUAGAUUUUAAUUAAAUUGGACCGUCAAUUAAAUUAAUUAAUUAAUAUGAUUAAUUAAUUGUUUAAUUAUCUCGAUCCCAAAAUUUUGAUUUAAUUUUGACGACUAUAAUUGCUAGAUUCAUGAGACAUUACAUAUAAUAUUAGAUAUUAUACAUAUGAAACAUUUAUGUGAUGAAUGUUUAUGGAUGAUUAUGGACUCGACCAUAUGGAUGUGUUGAAUGGUUGAUUUACUUCUUAUUGUUGUUGUGGGCCUGCGAGCUCCUUAUUAAAUAAUUGGGACUGCGAGUCCGUUGUUAUUAUUAUUAUUGUGGGCCUGCGAGUCCCUUUUUUUUAGGCCUGCGUGCCAACUAGUAUAGGAUACAUGUUGCAAGUUCGGCUAAUUGGAGGCGCAAGAAGAGGUGGACACCAUGAAGAUGGUGUAUUGGUAUUGGUCCAAUACUGUACCCCUUAGGAAUUGACCAACUAGUUUUCCUUUUGGCUCGAGAAAACUAGAUAGAACAAGUCAAUAAUCAUCCAUACUAUAUAUAUAUAUAUAUAUUCACAUAGUAGAUGUAUGUUUAAAUAUAUGUAUGCAUAUGUAGUUACUUGAUGAGACCAUUGCACAUUAAAUCCCUCGUUAAAAAUUAUUAAGUUAGUAUUAUUUGCCUUCCAUCAUUAUAGUGAAAAACGAGAAUCCUAAAUCGACCUUAGCUUGUUGAGUACACUCAAGGCUGGUCUAUUAGGGAUAUGUUUGACACUAUGAAAUAUUUGAUAUUUCUGAAUGAUGGGUUUAACUUAACUAAAAUUUAUCUUUAGUUGAGUACACUCAAGGAGAUAAAUUUUUGAGGCAUGUUAAGCUAACACAUAAGAUGUNNNNNNNNNNNNNNNNNNNNNNNNNNNNNNNNNNNNNNNNNNNNNNAUAACAUCUACCCAAAUGUUUUAUUAGGAUUUGUUGAGUACACUCAAGAUCUCGAUACAAUGAAUGGGAUCCCAGCCCACUGUGAAUCAAGUGUGGAUUCAAAUAAUUUAUGUAUGAGGGUCAUGAAUUUAUUUUAGACAGUGGGAGCACGUUUAAUUAAAGUCCAUAUUAAAUUUAUGCACAUGCAUUAUAAUACAUAUUAAUUCUAUUUUUUUCGUCAUUUACAGUUUUUGAAUCAUGAGUAAUCAUAUGAAUUUGAGAGGCAUACUGGAUGCCAACAAAUUGACCGGACCAAAUUUUCUCAAUUGGCACCNNNNNNNNNNNNNNNNNNNNNNNNNNNNNNNNNNNNNNNNNNNNNNNNNNNNNNNNNNNNNNNNNNNNNNNNNNNNNNNNNNNNNNNNNNNNNNNNNNNNNNNNNNNNNNNNNNNNNNNNNNNNNNNNNNNNNNNNNNNNNNNNNNNNNNNNNNNNNNNNNNNNNNNNNNNNNNNNNNNNNNNNNNNNNNNNNNNNNNNNNNNNNNNNNNNNNNNNNNNNNNNNNNNNNNNNNNNNNNNNNNNNNNNNNNNNNNNNNNNNNNNNNNNNNNNNNNNNNNNNNNNNNNNNNNNNNNNNNNNNNNNNNNNNNNNNNNNNNNNNNNNNNNNNNNNNNNNNNNNNNNNNNNNNNNNNNNNNNNNNNNNNNNNNNNNNNNNNNNNNNNNNNNNNNNNNNNNNNNNNNNNNNNNNNNNNNNNNNNNNNNNNNNNNNNNNNNNNNNNNNNNNNNNNNNNNNNNNNNNNNNNNNNNNNNNNNNNNNNNNNNNNNNNNNNNNNNNNNNNNNNNNNNNNNNNNNNNNNNNNNNNNNNNNNNNNNUCAAGGAAUUCAAACUUGAAGUAGAGAAACAAACUAGUAAAAAUAUACUCACGCUAAGAUCAGAUCGAGGUGGAGAAUAUUUAAAGGGAGAAUUUUUAGAUUAUCUUAAAGAGAACGGGAUUCUCUCGCAGUGGACUCCGCCAUAUACACCGCAACAUAAUGGUGUAUCUGAACGGAGGAAUCGCACUUUGUUAGAUAUGGUGCGAUCUAUGAUGAGCCAUGCAAACAUCCCAAAAUCAUUUUGGGGUCAUGCACUANNNNNNNNNNNNNNNNNNNNNNNNNNNNNNNNNNNNNNNNNNNNNNNNNNNNNNNNNNNNNNNNNNNNNNNNNNNNNNNNNNNNNNNNNNNNNNNNNNNNNNNNNNNNNNNNNNNNNNNNNNNNNNNNNNNNNNNNNNNNNNNNNNNNNNNNNNNNNNNNNNNNNNNNNNNNNNNNNNNNNNNNNNNNNNNNNNNNNNNNNNNNNNNNNNNNNNGUGUAUUUGUGGGAUAUCCAAAGGAGACAAUUGGAUAUCAAUUCUAUAAUCCCGUUGAGAAGAAAGUGUUCAUCUCAAGGCAUGCCAUAUUCCUAGAGGAAGAGUUUAUUCUAGGAGAGGGUAGUGGGAGCAAACUAGAACUUGAGGAAGUUCAAGAAUCCACAGACACUGUUGACCAAUUAGAUGAACUUGAGUCUGAUCCUACACCUGUUGGUGGACAGACUCUUGAUCAGGAUAUAGAGAACCCUGAGGACACUCCAGCUCAGCGUAAAUCAAAAAGGAUCAUUCGACCUCCCAGAAGGUACGAAUUCACGAUUACUAAUCAAGUAUUAUUAAUCGAGGAUGAUGAACCUACAAAUUAUGCAGAAGCAAAGUCAAGUGUUGAUUCGAAGAGAUGGCAAGAUGCCAUAGAAUCCGAAAUGGACUCAAUGUAUGAUAACAAGGUUUGGACCUUGGUCGACCUUCCAGGUGGGAUAAAACCGAUAGGUUGUAAAUGGGUUUACAAGAAAAAGGUCGAUGUGGAUGGAAACGUCCACACAUACAAAGCAAGGCUAGUAGCGAAGGGUUACACACAAAGACAAGGUAUUGACUUUGAUGAAACUUUUUCGCCUGUAGCCAUGCUGAAGUCCAUUCGAAUUUUGCUUGCAAUAGCUGCAUACCAUGAUUAUGAGAUAUGGCAAAUGGAUGUCAAAACUGCUUUCCUUAAUGGAAACCUGCAAGAGGAGGUGUAUAUGACACAGUCUGAAGGUUUUGAAUCCAAAGGAGCCAACAAAUUAUGCAAGCUAAAUCGAUCCAUUUAUGGAUUAAAGCAAGCCUCUAGGAACUGGAAUCUUCGUUUUGAUGAAACAAUCAAAAGGUUUGAUUUUAUCAAAAAUGAAGAUGAACCGUGUAUUUAUAAGAAAACAAAUGGGAGCGCAGUCGUAUUCCUGAUAUUAUAUGUCGAUGACAUAUUAUUAAUGGGAAACGACAUCCCAGUACUUCAAUCAGUAAAAUUAUGGUUGUCAAAGAAUUUCUCCAUGAAAGAUAUGGGAGAAGCAGCAUAUAUCUUGAGAAUCAAGAUCUAUAGAGAUAGAUCUAAAAGAUUACUAGGCUUAUCCCAAUCUUCGUACAUAGAUAAAAUUUUGAGAAGAUUUAAUAUGGAAGAGUCCAAAAGAGGAUUAUGCCCCAUGUCACAUGGGAUUUACCUCUCAAGAGAUAUGUGUCCUAAAACACAGGAUGAAAGGAGUCGCAUGGACAAGAUUCCUUAUGCUUCGGCGAUAGGAUCUAUCAUGUAUGCGAUGCUAUGUACGAGACAAGAUGUUUCAUAUGCUCUAAGUGUUACGAGUAGGUUUCAAGCAAACCCUGGUGAGAAACACUGGAUAGCGGUUAAGAACAUUCUUAAGUACUUAAGAAGGACUAAAGAUGUGUUCUUGAUCUAUGGAGGAAAUGAACUGAAAAUUCAGGGGUAUACUGAUGCUAGUUUUCAAACUGAUAAAGAUGAUAGCAAGUCUCAGUCAGGAUAUAUGUUUACUCUCAACAAUGGAGCGGUUAGUUGGAAAAGUUCCAAACAGGAAACAACCGCUGAUUCAACAACAGAAGCCGAGUACAUAGCUGCUUCUGAAGCAGCAAAGGAAGCUGUAUGGAUCAAGAAGUUCAUUAAUGAACUUGGAGUCGUUCCUAGCAUUGUUGAUCCCAUACCUUUGUAUUGUGAUAACAAUGGAGCCAUCGCGCAAGCGAAGGAACCGAGGCCUCAUCAACGAUCCAAACAUGUGCUAAGGCGAUAUCAUCUCAUCAGGGAGAUUAUACAAAGGAAUGAUGUAAAGAUAGAGCGAGUUCCCAUAGAUGAUAAUAUUGCAGAUCCGCUGACAAAGCCGUUGUCACAACAGAAACAUGAUCGUCAUGUGGAUGCUUAUGGUAUUAGAUACGUGAGUGAUUGGAUCUAGUGCAAGUGGGAGUUUGUAAGUGUUAUGCCCUAGAUCCAAUCGAUUUAGGUUGUAAACGCUUUUAAUAUAUUUAAUGCAUUUGAUUUUGGCGAGAUCUAUUAUUUAUUUAAAUUAAUUUUGUAAUAAAUAAUAUUAAAUAAUAGAAUCCGAAGAUCCAAUUUUUAGGUAAUCUGUUAAUCACAAGGAUUUGUGAUUGUGAGAUACAAAUUACAUAUAAUUGGAUCUUGAAUAAACCAUGGUCGUAAGUAAUAACGAGAUACGGAUAUCGUUAAUACAGUUAGACCAUCACGUGUGACAUUUCUUACUUGUGAAGUAAGUAGCUGAUCUCACGAGUUAAAGUGUGGUGACACUUAAAUGAAGACGUGGAUGUUUUGUUAUAGAACAAAACAUUGGAGACCCGCUAAGAGAUUCCAAAUGGAUAACUAUCUGAGUGUCAGUGGCUAAUCUCUAACGUUCGGUAGUGGAAUUGGUCCUUUGACUUAAGGUCGUCCUGAUACCUUAUAUGAGGACAGUCAUACUUUGGCGGUGUUGGAUGUUACUCUGAAAGGGGCCGCUAAUACGACAUCGUUCGGGUACGUCAAGAAUCGUAUGAAGGUUGUGAUUGAUUAAUAAAGGAUUCGUCACUCUUAGAUAGUAGGAAAUUAUGAUCUGCGUUUCAUUCAAUUAAGUCGAUGAUGAAAUCCUUGGCCAAGGUGUACUCAUAAGUCGAAAAGGAGUUUUCGAUUUAUAUUGACUUAAUAGUGGAGUGAAAGAUAUGAUCAAUGAUCGAGAUUGACACAAUUCCAUAUCUCGUAAUUGAUCGGAUCGUAUUGACGAAGGGAUAAUAGUUCCACGGUAAACGAACGAAUUUGAUUUUGUCAUACUACGUGAUAUUUCCCGUCACAUGUAUUGCCCUGACACAUUGCUAGAUGUCAAUCAGGGACGGCGAAUGUGAAUUGACGAUAAAUUAAAAGGGUGUAUUAAUUUAUCAAUUUUGAUUAGAUCAAAAUAAUAUUUCACGACGUCAUACAUCGUGGUCGGGAACCUAAUGGGUCGCACACAAAAGAGAAUUUGAAGACUGCAAAUUGUCAAUUGAUUAAUUUAACAAUCGUUGAAUAAAUUGAUUAAUUGAAUUUGUUAUUUAUAAUCCCGAAUUAAUUAAUUAGAUUAAUUAAUUCACGGACCGGGUUUAAUUAAUUGGAUUAAUUAAAUAUUGGACCGGACCGGACCGGGUCCGUUUGGGUUUAUAUAUAUAUGCAGCUAUGGUUUGAGGUCCAAUAAUGUUUUCAUUAUUCUUGCUAGCACAAAAAAGAAACCCUAGCAGUUGCUGUCUACUCUCUGUGUGGAUUACAUUGGAGACUGGACAAUUGGACAGCUGUGGGAGGCAGAUUCAAGCUGCUGGAAAGGAAUAACGCGAAAGAGUUUGCAAAUCACAAGUAAAGGUAUAUUUCUUAUCACAGUUUAUAUCUAAAUACAAAGCUGAAUCCUGAAUGGAAAUUGAAACUUGCUAAAUUCCGCUGUGCAUGUUUAAGUAAAUUUCCAACAUAUAAAUACCCAAGAGCUGUAAGUUUGAGUUCCCGCUACUUUUAUAUAGAUAAUUUCAGUAUAGAGACAUUAACACCUGGAUGUUUUUCUUCUGGCUUUAACCAUAUAUUUUGCCUUCGUGUGGCGAAAUUUAGAAAUCAUUUAUAAAUGUUCUUCAUUUUCGACCACAAAUUUCAAUGGAUCCACACGUAAUAUCUACUCAUCC
Molecule: long non-coding RNA, 33249 nt
Filed under: Olea europaea (common olive)
Lineage: Eukaryota; Viridiplantae; Streptophyta; Magnoliopsida; Lamiales; Oleaceae
Description: long non-coding RNA (OEUR_LNC006325)
Source: RNAcentral